GCCAGGUACCUAUAUAUCUACGUUGCUGCAAUGUGGUCAAUAAAAACAUGAAAAUCAUAAAUGCAUCUACUGUAAUGUAGUCAAUACAAAAAUGAUAAUCAUAAAUGUAUCUUAAACUAGAUGUGUGAAAGCAACACGAAAGGCUACGUCUCAAAAAUUUGAAAAUCUGCAAUUUCAAUAACACAUGUGGAUACAAACAUGAUGGUUG
Molecule: long non-coding RNA, 208 nt
Filed under: Mytilus galloprovincialis (Mediterranean mussel)
Lineage: Eukaryota; Metazoa; Mollusca; Bivalvia; Mytilida; Mytilidae
Source: RNAcentral